UACGAGGGGGGCAAGCGUUGUUCGGAAUUAUUGGGCGUAAAGGGUGCGUAGGCUGUGCGGUAAGUCACCUGUGAAAACUCUGGGCUCAACCCAGAGCCUGCAGGCGAAACUGCCGUGCUGGAGUAUGGGAGAGGUGCGUGGAAUUCCCGGUGUAGCGGUGAAAUGCGUAGAUAUUCGCAAGAACACCAGUGGCGAAGGCGGCUCACUGGCCCGGUACUGACGCUGAGGCACGAAAGCGUGGGGAGCAAACAGG
RNAcentral lists this ribosomal RNA (253 nucleotides) under uncultured prokaryote. RNAcentral's name for it is "partial 16S ribosomal RNA". It matches the Rfam family "Bacterial small subunit ribosomal RNA", at positions 524 to 776 of the family's 1533-position model. The record is from RNAcentral.